Non-coding RNA from Phasianus colchicus (ring-necked pheasant), 1727 nucleotides. NCBI's taxonomy places the organism in Eukaryota, Metazoa, Chordata, Aves, Galliformes, Phasianidae. The record is from RefSeq and is a predicted model, not a curated record.
CUUAUUUCUUCCCCAACAAAUGCUCUCCAUCAGCAUUUACAGCGCACUGCCAAAAGAUAUGGAAUGAAGAAAGCAAGCAAACACAUCAAAGAGAGCAGUGUCUACUUCUUAAAAUCCUCGUUAACAUUUCACAACAUACAGUGCAGAGGAAGAAAUGCAUAAAGUCAGCCGGCUUCAAAUACGCAAAACUAUUUUUUGGGAUUUGCUUUCUAAGCUGACAGAGUACUGGCACAGCAUAUAAUGGAAUGCCCAAACGCAUUCAGUACCUUAACGAAGGAUUCAGUGCUCCAGGUUUGACACGACAGGAUUCCAUGCUGCUUUCAGUGAAAGAGACAAACCUCCCCCCAUACAUCUCCACUGCCACCACCACUCAAUAUAAUUUCCCAAACACUUUCAAAAUAAAUAGAACUCUUUUGUCAGAGUGAAAUAAAUACAGCAGGAUUAGGUUUGCACUGUUUACUGGUUCCUUGUCUUUCCUUUCAUUUUGCCUCUGCCUGAGGCAGUUUUGGAAGGCUCUGCCACCUCCUCCAUUCUGCUCUAAGUGUGUAAGUAAGAGACCAACGGUUUCUGUCCCACAGUUGCAUUCUACACUCACACAGUACAUUCCUCUCAGCAGCACUGUCCAUCUGAAACUCUCAAGUGCAGGGAAGCAAUCUGUAGGGUUUGAUGACGUUCUGCAUUUUGGUUAUUUUUAAGGCCAUCUUCACUGCUAGAUCAGCUGGCACUAGCUGAGUCUGUCUACCAAAGCAGCUAUCAGCCCUGUCCAGGCUCGUAGGUUAGGGUAGCCAAGCAGGGGCUGUGCAAAGAGGUAAGCCAAGAAUUUGUGAAGUAUUCUCUCUUAAAUGAGGUGGCCUGGGUAUCUCAGCACUUCUCUGGUGCCAGGCAUGUGAGUGCUCCCCCUGAAGUCACAGAGGGCUGUGGGCUCCAACGUCAGACAGAGGCACUCCGCAGCUCACUGCCACCUCCUCCAGCCCUGUGCACGGAUCUAAGAGCUGCUGUGUCACGGAGACUGCUGCCGGGCAGGUUGUGCGCUGGCAGCCAGGCACAGCACAGCAGGAAGCAGUCCUGCAGCCUGGGAAGGCUCCCACUGCCAGCCAGAACCGCUGCUCCCAGCUGCCCACAGACAUCCUCUGCAGGGACUGCAAGCGAGCACCAAGUCCUAGAAACAGGCUGGUACCUGGUGAUACUGCCAGCACAACCACUCCUCUGCUGCUGCGGAGAACGAGGGGCUCACUGAGUCACAGAUCCUCAGUCAACCUGCCCAGCCAAAGCUAUCUACUGUCUUAGAAGUAUACCAGUGCCCACCUGUAAUUGUGAACUGAGUACCUGCUACACAGCAGAAACUCCUGCCCCUCGGAUGUCCUCAUGGAAAAAACAUCAAUUACAUCUCUCACACAGAGCUUGUCAAUUCUGACUCCUUACAGCCCAGUGCUGUUGUAAAAUAAAAAAUGACGCAGGUGGAAAGCUUUGCAGGGCAAAGGCACAGCUGUAUUUCAUACCUGACAGAACUCAUUCUGUGCAGUGCAGACCUGAAAGCAAAUUUUGGGGGUGGGAUGAGGAGAAGACGCUCAAAUCCCUUCACACUUGCCUAGCUCAGUUACAAAGUAAUUAGCUUCAUAGUGAGAGUACAAGGCAAUGCACCACAUCCUGAAUUAUUCAGGAAGUCAGACUGAAGGACUACUGCAAAGCCUUCUUGCUUUAAGUUCUGUCUCCCUCUUCCCCACACU